AUAGGAGGCGAUCCAUAAAUCUGCGAACGGCUCCGUAUAUCUGUUAUCACCCACGGCCACUAAAAAGAUCUCGGAUACCCACGGUAAUUCUGAGGCUAAUACGUAUACGUAGCUUGGGCCUCCAGGACAGGGCGCCCUCCGCAAGGGGGGCGCCUGGGCUAGUCGCUUGUUGCCGGGGGGUCCCGCAAGGGGUCCGCUGUCAUGAUGGCAGGCUAGUGCACCACACUGCGGGGGCGAUAUGUCCCGUAGGGUGCGCCAAGGGAGCCAGCCCUAUUAACUAGGUGUCCGGGUAAGGCCCGGCCGCGGUGAUAACGGGUACAGAGGAUCAGGGUUCGGUCCUGGAGAGGAAGCCUGAGAGAUCGCUUCUACUUCUAAGGAAGGCAGCAGGCGCGCAACGUUCCCAAUGGGGAUACCCUGAGGACGUGAGGGGAUAUAGCAAUGCCCCGCCCAUAAAGCGGGGCAAUUGCAAUGGGGGUCCACUAAACCCUCCACCGAGUAACAAUUGGAGGACAAGUCUGGUGCCAGCACCCGCG
This 533-nucleotide ribosomal RNA is filed under the name Trichia varia. RNAcentral describes it as "bacterial SSU rRNA". It matches the Rfam family "Eukaryotic small subunit ribosomal RNA", at positions 67 to 578 of the family's 1831-position model. Lineage: Eukaryota; Evosea; Eumycetozoa; Trichiida; Trichiidae. The record is from RNAcentral.